UUUGUGUACUGAUUUAUUUCAAGAUAAUAAACACAUUUACAAUUGAACACAAUAUUGUAUUACUUUAAGUAACGUUGUAUCAUUACACAAAAUCUGUAUUAAUACUUACAAAUAUAUAUAUCUCUCUGGUCAUAACAAAUGAUUCAAUUCUGUCACAAGAAUUGCCUCAUACACCAAAAGACAGAGAAUUGGUAUAAACUCCCGAUCCACGUUCCAUACAAUUUAUGAUACCUUAGAAAUGGACUGUGGUGUCGGAUGGGAACUCCAAGUACCUGUGUACCAAAACGGUCUUAUAUUCUCCUUAACAAACAGGAUGAAAAUAGUGGGUAGAGCCACAGGUACAUAAUGUACACGAGAAUCCUGACAAUGUGGUUAUACAGCCACAGGGACAUGAGAAUCCUGACAUAGUGGGUAGAGCCACAGGUACACGAGAAUCCUGACAUUGUGGUUAUACAGCCACAGGGACACGAGAAUCCUGACAUAGUGGGUAGAGCCACAGGGACACGAGAAUCCUGACAAUGUGGUUAUACAGCCACAGGGACACGAGAAUCCUGACAAUGUGGUUAUACAGCCACAGGGACACGAGAAUCCUGACAAUGUGGUUAUACAGCCACAGGGACACGAGAAUCCUGACAUAGUGGGUAGAGCCACAGGGACACGAGAAUCCUGACAAUGUGGUUAUACAGCCACAGGGACACGAGAAUCCUGACAUUGUGGUUAUACAGCCACAGGGACACGAGAAUCCUGACAAUGUACAUUGUAAGUUACACUGAUCUGCUGUAGCCACUUUGUUAGGUUGACUUAACCCCUAAAAGUGUAAUACAUAUUGUCCAAUAUCUCACGUCGCUGUGAGUGUAAUAGUUAUCUCAUAUUCAAUCAUGAUAAUCUGAACAUGGAUGGAGACACAAGUUGUCAAAAAAUAUGCAAAACAAGAGAUUCAAACAAUGAGAUAUGAUAUAAACAAGAGUGGUUCAUAUUAAAUGUAUUAAAGCAACAUAUCUAUUAAGUGAUAAUCACACAUAUAUAACGAUGGCUCCUUUCAAAUACAUGAUCAUGAACAAACGGUAAAAAAAUAUGAAUAUUUUUCAAAAUCAAUUGAAGAUAUAUAUAAUUUACACGAAAAUGACUACCCAUCACCUUGAAUUCACGUGCACAGAUGAAAGGUGUUCUGUUCCUCUUUUUUAACUUCUACAUGUACUGGCUGACCAGGGGACAGGUGUGGCCAUGGUAACAGGUGUGGCCAUGGUAACAAUAUGUACUGGCCUAUCACAGACAAGGACACACAUAAAAACAUGGAUUUACAUAGACAUUGUGUAUAAUUUAAUGUAGAUUGUAUACUAAAAAUAGCACUGACAGAGAGAAAAAUGAUUGUCAAUGGUUUGAAGAAAAGAAAAAAUGUAUGUUUCUAUAUUUUUCUUUAGUUCAAGGGAGGAAUCUAAAAUCAAAUGAAAAUCAUGAUGUAUAAUAAUUAACACUUUGUAAGUUUUAGAAAGUAUCAUUUUGUACUUGCAAAUUAAGGUAACUACACUGUACAAUAUAAGAUUGGAGGUCCUCGGUCCCAGUCUGGUCAAUUCCUGUCAUAUUCUACAUCGUGUUAUCAGUAGGAAUCCCUCCUUACCAUUUACACCAAUGAGGCCAAGAACAUAGGUUUAUGUUUUUCUUUUAAAGACUGAACUUCGAUAAAUAGACAGCCUAAUAAAAAAAUAAAUGAAACUGUUACACUUCACAAAUAAAACAUUGUAAUGUAUUCAGAGUAAUUUUAACCCUAAAUUGGGGUAAUUUUAUAACAGUAAUUUUCAUGCCAGUGUUAAGUUAACAAUUUGCAGUGUAUAUGUCACCUCAUACACAUUCUAACACCACGUUGAACGUUCAAUUAAAAAUACAGAAAAAAAUCAAUCUUGAAAAGAAACGAGUUUCAUGGGCCUUAACCAUCAUGUGGGUUCUAAAAUACAUUUGACAUUAGUAAAACCACAAAAAAACACCAUUUAUUAACAAUAAUAAAUGCAAAUAUUUUCAUCCAAAUCGACCAAAGUCAUUUAAUUAGACAAUCAUUAUGGACCAAAUCCAAAAUGGCGAUGUGCAUUUCAGCUUAUUGCACAAGUCGAUAAAUCAGGUUAAAAGCUCCCACAAAUAGGCAACCCAAUUAUGCGAAAUGCAUUGUAAUGACAAUUGAUUGUUUUGUUUUUAAAUUAAUUAUUUAACAUAUUUGACCCAUGUGACCUUGAAGAUAGGACAAGGUCAUUCAUCCAAGCAUGUUUCUGACUCAAAAUCAUGACCCUAAGCCUCUUGGUUAUUUAGAAGACAAAAAUAUAAAUUGUUGACAAUGCAGGACAGACAAUGUACAACACUGGCAGAAGGCAAUAACAAUAGGUACUUUAGACUUUAAAAUUGUCUCUGGUGACCUAAAAAUGACAAUGUGUGAUAGUAGGGUUACGGGAAAUCCCUUCUGUAGAAUAAAUCACAAAGAUUGUAUACAGUUUAUCCCAUAACAUAUAGUUAGUAAGGUUGGUAACCAUGGUAACACAUAGUAAGGUUGGUAACCAUGGUAACACAUAGUAAGGUUGGUAACCAUGGUAACACAUAGUAAGGUUGGUAACCAUUGUAUGUAUUCUCUUUACAUUUUCUCCAUUAGCAAGCUUUUUCAUACCAACGAGAAGAUUUUCCUCUCUAAUCAAGAGAUACUGUCAGUGUGACAAAGAAAACACAUAGAACAUCUAGAAAUUUGGGGAAAUGAUAGUAGAACAUUACAAACAUUUAUUUUCAAGUGACAUUAAAGGUUGAGAGGUGUGGAGAAAAAGAAACUGAAUCUAAAGGGAGGAAUAGAGGCACU
Long non-coding RNA from Pecten maximus, 2830 nucleotides. RefSeq lists it as uncharacterized. Lineage: Eukaryota; Metazoa; Mollusca; Bivalvia; Pectinida; Pectinidae. The record is from RefSeq and is a predicted model, not a curated record. The transcript is spliced from 2 exons.